CGGGUGAGUAACGCGUGGAUAAUCUUCCUCUAGGUGGGGAAUAACCAGUCGAAAGAUUGGCUAAUACCGCAUAAGACCACAAUGCCCUCGGGCAUAGGGGUUAAAGGAGCAAUUCGCCUGGAGAUGAGUCUGCGCCCGAUUAGCUAGUUGGUGAGGUAACGGCUCACCAAGGCGACGAUCGGUAGCCGGUCUGAGAGGACGGCCAGCCACACUGGGACUGAGACACGGCCCAG
RNAcentral lists this ribosomal RNA (233 nucleotides) under uncultured bacterium. Its description in RNAcentral is "partial 16S ribosomal RNA". It matches the Rfam family "Bacterial small subunit ribosomal RNA", at positions 103 to 334 of the family's 1533-position model. The record is from RNAcentral.